This 253-nucleotide ribosomal RNA is filed under the name uncultured bacterium. RNAcentral's name for it is "partial 16S ribosomal RNA". It matches the Rfam family "Bacterial small subunit ribosomal RNA", at positions 524 to 776 of the family's 1533-position model. The record is from RNAcentral.
UACGUAGGGGGCAAGCGUUGUCCGGAAUCAUUGGGCGUAAAGAGCGUGUAGGCGGCCCGGCAAGUCCGCUGUGAAAGUCAAGGGCUUAACCCUUGAAUGCCGGUGGAUACUGCCGGGCUAGAGUCCGGAAGAGGCGAGUGGAAUUCCUGGUGUAGCGGUGAAAUGCGCAGAUAUCAGGAAGAACACCUAUGGCGAAGGCAGCUCUCUGGGACGGUACUGACGCUGAGACGCGAAAGCGUGGGGAGCGAACAGG